RNAcentral lists this transfer RNA (67 nucleotides) under Diploptera punctata (Pacific beetle cockroach). RNAcentral describes it as "tRNA-His". Lineage: Eukaryota; Metazoa; Arthropoda; Insecta; Blattodea; Blaberidae. The record is from RNAcentral.
AUCUAGGUAGUUUAAUUAUAAAAAUUCUAAUUUGUGGUAUUAGAGAUAUAACUAGUUAUCUUAGAUU